GGUAUAUGGUGACGACGUCUUCGCCGGACGCAGAUUGUUGUUGUUUGUGGCAGUUCCGCGCGGAUCAAACAAAUAGUAUGUCAGCGUGUAGAUGCGCAGGCAGAUACAAAACGCGGCGUGCGGGCACUAAAGUUCGUGACCUGUGAUGGGUCGCGGCAAAUUCGGAAUAGACCGGGGGGAAUGAGGGAGAGGCGGAAAACCAAAAACGGCGAGACACAAACUAAGGCUCAAAUAAAUGACGAGUCGAGCGAAAUACGUGAUUAAACUUUUCCAAU
Non-coding RNA from Caenorhabditis elegans, 275 nucleotides. The record is from Ensembl. Lineage: Eukaryota; Metazoa; Nematoda; Chromadorea; Rhabditida; Rhabditidae.